UGGGGAAUUUUGGACAAUGGGCGCAAGCCUGAUCCAGCCAUGCCGCGUGCGGGAAGAAGGCCUUCGGGUUGUAAACCGCUUUUGUCAGGGAAGAAAUCUUCUGAGUUAAUACCUCGGGAGGAUGACGGUACCUGAAGAAUAAGCACCGGCUAACUACGUGCCAGCAGCCGCGGUAAUACGUAGGGUGCAAGCGUUAAUCGGAAUUACUGGGCGUAAAGCGUGCGCAGGCGGUUUUGUAAGACAGAGGUGAAAUCCCCGGGCUCAACCUGGGAACUGCCUUUGUGACUGCAAGGCUUGAGUGCAGCAGAGGGGGGAUGGAAUUCCGCGUGUAGCAGUGAAAUGCGUAGAUAUGCGGAGGAACACCGAUGGCGAAGGCAAUCCCCUGGGCCUGCACUGACGCUCAUGCACGAAAGCGUGGGGAGCAAACAGGAUUAGAUACCCUGGUAGUCCACGCCCUAAACGAUGUCAACUGGUUGUUGGGAAGGUUCCUUCUCAGUAACGUAGCUAACGCGUGAAGUUGACCGCCUGGGGAGUACGGCCGCAAGGUUGAAACUC
RNAcentral lists this ribosomal RNA (555 nucleotides) under uncultured bacterium. RNAcentral's name for it is "partial 16S ribosomal RNA". It matches the Rfam family "Bacterial small subunit ribosomal RNA", at positions 355 to 902 of the family's 1533-position model. The record is from RNAcentral.